This 503-nucleotide ribosomal RNA is filed under the name uncultured bacterium. Its description in RNAcentral is "partial 16S ribosomal RNA". It matches the Rfam family "Bacterial small subunit ribosomal RNA", at positions 30 to 523 of the family's 1533-position model. The record is from RNAcentral.
AUUGAACGCUGGCGGCAGGCUUAACACAUGCAAGUCGAGCGGGGUGAUGGUGCUUGCACUAUCACUUAGCGGCGGACGGGUGAGUAAUGCUUAGGAAUCUGCCUAUUAGUGGGGGACAACAUCUCGAAAGGGAUGCUAAUACCGCAUACGUCCUACGGGAGAAAGCAGGGGAUCACUUGUGACCUUGCCCUAAUAGAUGAGCCUAAGUCGGAUUAGGUAGUUGGUGGGGUAAAGGCCUACCAAGGCGACGAUCUGUAGCGGGUCUGAGAGGAUGAUCCGCCACACUGGGACUGAGACACGGCCCAGACUCCUACGGGAGGCAGCAGUGGGGAAUAUUGGACAAUGGGGGGAACCCUGAUCCAGCCAUGCCGCGUGUGUGAAGAAGGCCUUAUGGUUGUAAAGCACUUUAAGCGAGGAGGAGGCUCUUUUGGUUAAUACCCAAGAUGAGUGGACGUUACUCGCAGAAUAGGCACCGGCUAACUCUGUGCCAGCAGCCGCCGUAA